Molecule: unclassified non-coding RNA, 343 nt
Filed under: soil metagenome
Description: partial contains 5.8S ribosomal RNA, internal transcribed spacer 2, and large subunit ribosomal RNA
Rfam family: 5.8S ribosomal RNA (bases 1-120)
Source: RNAcentral
GAUGAAGAACGCAGCGAAAUGCGAUAAGUAAUGUGAAUUGCAGAAUUCAGUGAAUCAUCGAAUCUUUGUACGCACAUUGCGCCCGCUAGUAUUCUGGCGGGCAUGCCUGUCCGAGCGUCAUUUCAACCCUCAAGCCCCCGGGCUUGGUGUUGGGGAUCGGCGAGCCUCCGCGCCCGCCGUCCCCUAAAUCUAGUGGCGGUCUCGCUGUAGCUUCCUCUGCGUAGUAGCACACCUCGCACUGGGAAACAGCGCGGCCACGCCGUUAAACCCCCAACUUCUGAACGUUUGACCUCGGAUCAGGUAGGAAUACCCGCUGAACUUAAGCAUAUCAAUAAGCGGAGGA